Molecule: ribosomal RNA, 460 nt
Filed under: uncultured bacterium
Lineage: Bacteria
Description: partial 16S ribosomal RNA
Rfam family: Bacterial small subunit ribosomal RNA
Source: RNAcentral
CCUACGGGUGGCAGCAGUGAGGAAUAUUGGUCAAUGGCCGAGAGGCUGAACCAGCCAAGUCGCGUGAGGGAAGAAUGUCCUAUGGAUUGUAAACCUCUUUUGUCAGGGAGCAAAGUCACCCACGUGUGGGUGUUGGAGAGUACCUGAAGAAAAAGCAUCGGCUAACUCCGUGCCAGCAGCCGCGGUAAUACGGAGGAUCCAAGCGUUAUCCGGAUUUAUUGGGUUUAAAGGGUGCGUAGGCGGAUUGAUAAGUUAGAGGUGAAAUGUCCGAGCUUAACUCGGGAACUGCCUCUAAUACUGUUGAUCUAGAGAGUAGAUGCGGUAGGCGGAAUGUAUGGUGUAGCGGUGAAAUGCUUAGAGAUCAUACAGAACACCGAUUGCGAAGGCAGCUUACCAAUCUAUAUCUGACGUUGAGGCACGAAAGCGUGGGGAGCAAACAGGAUUAGAUACCCUUGUAGUC